CUUAAUAAUACCAGUGAUGUAAUUAUUUAGCUCCGCCCACAUCAAUAUUAAACAUUCUACAAUAACAAUGAUGACGUAAUAAUGAUUCAGUAGCUCCGCCCACUAUAAUUUUAAAUGUUAUUUCCCCCUUGUUUUCUGCGGCUUAUAACAUGAACUUUAGGAGACACAGGACAAAUUAAAGGAAAAUGCUAAUCCUAACCCAUGAGGAAGGGAGAAAAUCCUGAUCAUCAUUGUACAUCAGCAUGACAAGAGGAAAUGAUGUAAAUGACUGAAAGAGGCUUGAUGUGAUGCAGGAGGUUUAGAUAUAAAUCUACUCAGCCAGCUGUGUUUCAUGUGAUAUGUACAGACACACAGAAAAGCAGAUGUUCUUCAGCUGUGAAGGUCAGGAUGAUCCACAGAGAAGGAUGUUACAGGAGUGCAGUGUGUAAACCCCUCAUUACAAAGACAAAAUCUGGCUGAGACAUGGAGAGACACUGAGAUGCUGAGACACGGUGAGGCACUGAGAUGCUGAGACACAGUGACACUGAGAUGCUGAGAUAUGGUGAGACACUGAGAUGCUGAGGCACUGAGAUGCUGAGACACGGUGUGGCACUGAGAUGCUGAGACACUGAGAUGCUGAGACACGGUGAGUCACUGAGAUGCUGAGACACGGUGAGGCACUGAGAUUCUGAGACACUGAGAUCCUGAGACACGGUCAGGCACUGAGAUGCUGAGACACGUUAAGGCACUGAGAUGCUGAGACACUGAGAUGCUGAGACAUGGUGAAACACUGAGAUACUGAGGCACUGAGAUGCUGAGACACGGUGAGACACUGAGAUGCUGAGACACGGUGAGGCACUGAGAUGCUGAGACACGGUGAGACACUGAGAUGCUGAGGCACUGAGAUGCUGAGACAUUCUGAGGCACUGAGAUGCAAUGGGGUACCAGCAGUGCUAGUUAGGAGUAUAGAUAAUCUUAGGGUCUUAGGUAACCAUAGGUUUUCGAAGACAGUUAUUCAUGUAGGAGCUAACGAUAUAUGAUAUAUACAAAUUUUCAGGCAAUGAAAAUCAAUGUUAAAAAAUUCAAGAUGUUGGGAGUUCUGGUAGAAAAGAAAAAAAACAGUCAAGUAGGGGUCGAGUGGCACAACAGAAAAGGAUUCACCCUGUUGUCCUUUGAUCACAAGUGCAAUUCUGAGCAUGCUUCAGUCAUCCCUGAUUGGGAGUCCAAGAGAGCAAUACUGGCCAUGUGCUCUGGGUGGGAGGGGUAUAUUCUCUGUCCCUGUGUCAAUCAUAGCAACACUAGCCAAUCAUGGGCUUUUGUGAGCUUGUGGAAGUGGCA
Molecule: long non-coding RNA, 1317 nt
Organism: Ictalurus punctatus (channel catfish)
Lineage: Eukaryota; Metazoa; Chordata; Actinopteri; Siluriformes; Ictaluridae
Source: Ensembl